CCCCAAACUCUCCGACACAGAGCAAGUAACUACACAGCUCGCCAAGAGAUGGUUAUUGUGGGUGUGCACCGUGCACAGAUGACGAAGUCCCGACACCCACUCACACGCACACCUGCCUGUUUUGGUCUUUUCAGCAACAUGCCUAGAGGUCUCAGUGCUUCCUUUGUUUCUUCACUGGACUGAAGUCAUGGCCCACCUCGUGGAGGAAGUGAGACAUUUUUUGCGAGGGUGGGGGAGAAGCUGGGGAGGACUGAAGAGGAUCCCUCAAGAUCAAGAACUUUCUGGUUCAUUCUCUGUGAACAAGGCAAUUUGAUAAUGACAGAAAUCAUAAAAGUGUUACUUAA
Non-coding RNA from Lepisosteus oculatus (spotted gar), 344 nucleotides. Lineage: Eukaryota; Metazoa; Chordata; Actinopteri; Semionotiformes; Lepisosteidae. The record is from RefSeq and is a predicted model, not a curated record.